This 443-nucleotide ribosomal RNA is filed under the name uncultured Oscillospiraceae bacterium. RNAcentral describes it as "partial 16S ribosomal RNA". The record is from RNAcentral. Lineage: Bacteria; Bacillati; Bacillota; Clostridia; Eubacteriales; Oscillospiraceae.
GACUACAGGGGUAUCUAAUCCUGUUUGCUCCCCACGCUUUCGCGCCUCAGCGUCAGUUGUCGUCCAGCAGGCCGCCUUCGCCACUGGUGUUCCUCCUAAUAUCUACGCAUUUCACCGCUACACUAGGAAUUCCGCCUGCCUCUCCGAUACUCAAGAACUACAGUUUCAAACGCAGGUUAUGGGUUGAGCCCAUAAUUUUCACGCCUGACUUGCAAUCCCGCCUACGCGCCCUUUACACCCAGUAAAUCCGGACAACGCUUGCCACCUACGUAUUACCGCGGCUGCUGGCACGUAGUUAGCCGUGGCUUGUUUUCGGGGUACCGUCAUUUCUUUCGUCCCCCGUCAAAGAAGUUUACAACCCGAAAGCCUUCUUCCUUCACGCGGCGUUGCUGGGUCAGGCUUGCGCCCAUUGCCCAAUAUUCCCCACUGCAGCCCCCCGUAGG